Molecule: long non-coding RNA, 1276 nt
Filed under: Oryza sativa (Asian cultivated rice)
Lineage: Eukaryota; Viridiplantae; Streptophyta; Magnoliopsida; Poales; Poaceae
Description: long non-coding RNA (OSAT_LNC000588)
Source: RNAcentral
UGCAUGAAAAAAACAUACUGACUUUAAGAUUCCACAAGAUCAAAAGUAGUUAUAUCCAGCACAGCAGAGUGGGCAAACACUUGCAUCAGUGUACAUAUAUACGAGUACAUUGUCUUUGCAUUCAUACAAAAGAAGUCUAUUUAAUUAGCAAAAGUUUCCAAGACUCUUGUAUGACGAUGGUCCACCGAUCUGUACUUCUGUACAUUAAAUAAUUCAACCAACAAGCGACCACCUUCAACAUGCAACUCUUCAUGUCCAGGAUAGCAUCAGUAGCUCUAACAAAAAGCUAGCCAUUUGCACUCUCCUGUUCAACCAAUACAAAUUGUUGGCCAAAAGUAAUGAAACGGAAACAAGCACUGAUCAUUUAGAAUAGAACUGUAUACAUCGCAUUAUUUGCCUCAUUUAAGUUGUUGCAGAAUUUGACAUGACUUAGGGAUUGACAUUGUCGUCCAUCUCGAGAAUUAGCAAGUAAUUCAGUCAACUUUUCCACUUCCUCACCAAGUGACUCAAUUUUUCUAAUAGCAGUUCUAACAAAAACCUAGCAAUUCUGUAAAAAAAAAACAGAAAAAUAAAAGAUUGCGUCUGAGAAGAGGGUGAAAUGGCUAUCUUUUCAUUUGCAUUAACAACUACUAUUCCAUCUAUACCUGAUCUAGCAGGAGAAACAUAUGCUGGAUCAAUAGUAAUGUCUGUGCCACCACCUAAAUCAGGACAUUGGUCUACAUGUUCAAUUUCAUUGUCCGGUUAAAUUGUGCCUAGGAAGGUACAUCCAUCACCUAUCCAUAGCUGGUAUUGACAAUCAAAUUUUAGAGGCCACUUAAAUUAGUUUGUGUUUGAGUGGUGUUUUCUAUGCGUGAAGUACAAGUACUCACCAGUGUACCCAUGGGGAAAAGAUAAAAAAACAUUGCGCAAGACAAAUAUAACAUGAGGAUAUAACAUUUCAGCAUUUUAGCAUAGUACUCAUGGCAAGCGGGAGGAAACUAACUGUUGUACAUUUGUUGUUCGGGACCUCUGUUCGGUAGAUGCUCAGCAAAGCAACGUACACCUUGGAUGAUAUCUAGGUUGAUUGCAGCAAAAUCGGUAGUGGACGACUAAACUGCACCAUAAAGCCAAAUAGUUCAAACUUGGAAAUAGAUUAUAAUGUCACUUAAAAUAAAUAUUUGAUCAAACAGGCUCAACAAUAUAGCUGUUUCUCACACAUGUCAACAAUAUAACUGACCAAACAGGCUCAGUGGCAAGAUUCCUCCACAUAAAAAAAAAGUUGGUUUGCACAGUGCUG